GCCCAUUUUCUCUGGGUUGGAGAACGUACUAGACAACUAGAUGGUGCUCAUGUUGAGUUUUUAAGAGGAGUUGCAAAUCCCCUUGGCAUUAAGGUAAGUGACAAGAUGAAUCCAACUGAGCUAGUUAAGCUCAUCGAGCUUCUGAAUCCUCAGAACAAACCAGGGAGAAUAACAAUUAUCACAAGAAUGGGAGCUGAGAACAUGAGGGUGAAACUUCCCCAUCUAAUUAGAGCAGUCCGCCUGGCUGGGCAAAUUGUCACAUGGGUCAGUG
This 271-nucleotide unclassified non-coding RNA is filed under the name Hevea brasiliensis (rubber tree). Lineage: Eukaryota; Viridiplantae; Streptophyta; Magnoliopsida; Malpighiales; Euphorbiaceae. The record is from RNAcentral.